RNAcentral lists this small nucleolar RNA (96 nucleotides) under Meriones unguiculatus (Mongolian gerbil). Its description in RNAcentral is "Small nucleolar RNA SNORA17 (ENSMUGG00000015131.1)". It matches the Rfam family "Small nucleolar RNA SNORA17", at positions 28 to 132 of the family's 132-position model. From Rfam's summary of the family: snoRNA ACA 17 belongs to the H/ACA family of snoRNAs and is predicted to guide pseudouridylation of the 28S rRNA at positions U4659 and U4598. It shares the same host gene together with ACA43. NB This family has a high threshold value to exclude a large number of closely related sequences that do not appear to have conserved H and ACA boxes, and may be pseudogenes. Lineage: Eukaryota; Metazoa; Chordata; Mammalia; Rodentia; Muridae. The record is from RNAcentral.
CCUGCUGUGUCACCUGUGCGCCAGCAGAGAAGAGAGGCUAUGUUUAUGCUCAGCAUUCCGGCCUAUGAACAGCUGAAGGAUUAGUGGCCUAACAUU